CAUUUUUAUUAAGACAAAUAUAUAUAUUUUUUUAAAUAAUACAACGACGGAGCCUUUAGAAAAGUGCUGAAUGAAAGCAUGGCUUUUCCUGAAAUAAAAUCAUUAUUAUUGUGAAUUAAUCAUUUUAAAAAUGUCAGCGGGUCCAAAAUGAAUAUUUUGUUAUCUCUGUAGAAGAUAUCUGACAUCCAACUCCCACUUCUAACAAGGCUUGUGAGCCAAUAGUAUAGCGACGUUGGCAUCACGUGGUAUCUCUGGGUCGUCAAUUAUCAAAGUUGCCAGUAAG
Molecule: long non-coding RNA, 283 nt
Organism: Sebastes umbrosus (honeycomb rockfish)
Lineage: Eukaryota; Metazoa; Chordata; Actinopteri; Perciformes; Sebastidae
Exons: 3
Source: RefSeq, a predicted model, not a curated record